CGAACGCUGGCGGCGUGCCUAAUACAUGCAAGUCGAGCGAGCGGAACUAACAGAUUUACUUCGGUAAUGACGUUAGGAAAGCGAGCGGCGGAUGGGUGAGUAACACGUGGGGAACCUGCCCCAUAGUCUGGGAUACCACUUGGAAACAGGUGCUAAUACCGGAUAAGAAAGCAGAUCGCAUGAUCAGCUUUUAAAAGGCGGCGUAAGCUGUCGCUAUGGGAUGGCCCCGCGGUGCAUUAGCUAGUUGGUAAGGUAAAGGCUUACCAAGGCGAUGAUGCAUAGCCGAGUUGAGAGACUGAUCGGCCACAUUGGGACUGAGACACGGCCCAAACUCCUACGGGAGGCAGCAGUAGGGAAUCUUCCACAAUGGACGCAAGUCUGAUGGAGCAACGCCGCGUGAGUGAAGAAGGUUUUCGGAUCGUAAAGCUCUGUUGUUGGUGAAGAAGGAUAGAGGUAGUAACUGGCCUUUAUUUGACGGUAAUCAACCAGAAAGUCACGGCUAACUACGUGCCAGCAGCCGCGGUAAUACGUAGGUGGCAAGCGUUGUCCGGAUUUAUUGGGCGUAAAGCGAGCGCAGGCGGAAGAAUAAGUCUGAUGUGAAAGCCCUCGGCUUAACCGAGGAACUGCAUCGGAAACUGUUUUUCUUGAGUGCAGAAGAGGAGAGUGGAACUCCAUGUGUAGCGGUGGAAUGCGUAGAUAUAUGGAAGAACACCAGUGGCGAAGGCGGCUCUCUGGUCUGCAACUGACGCUGAGGCUCGAAAGCAUGGGUAGCGAACAGGAUUAGAUACCCUGGUAGUCCAUGCCGUAAACGAUGAGUGCUAAGUGUUGGGAGGUUUCCGCCUCUCAGUGCUGCAGCUAACGCAUUAAGCACUCCGCCUGGGGAGUACGACCGCAAGGUUGAAACUCAAAGGAAUUGACGGGGGCCCGCACAAGCGGUGGAGCAUGUGGUUUAAUUCGAAGCAACGCGAAGAACCUUACCAGGUCUUGACAUUUAGUGUCAUUUGUAGAGAUACAAAGUUCCCUUCGGGGACGCUAAGACAGGUGAUGCAUGGCUGUCGUCAGCUCGUGUCGUGAGAUGUUGGGUUAAGUCCCGCAACGAGCGCAACCCUUGUUAUUAGUUGCCAGCAUUAAGUUGGGCACUCUAAUGAGACUGCCGGUGACAAACCGGAGGAAGGUGGGGAUGACGUCAAGUCAUCAUGCCCCUUAUGACCUGGGCUACACACGUGCUACAAUGGGCAGUACAACGAGAAGCGAGCCUGCGAAGGCAAGCGAAUCUCUGAAAGCUGUUCUCAGUUCGGACUGCAGUCUGCAACUCGACUGCACGAAGCUGGAAUCGCUAGUAAUCGCGGAUCAGCACGCCGCGGUGAAUACGUUCCCGGGCCUUGUACACACCGCCCGUCACACCAUGGGAGUCUGCAAUGCCCAAAGCCGGUGGCCUAACCUUCGGGAAGGAGCCGUCUAAGGCAGGGCAGAUGACUGG
This 1480-nucleotide ribosomal RNA is filed under the name uncultured organism. RNAcentral's name for it is "SSU rRNA". It matches the Rfam family "Bacterial small subunit ribosomal RNA". The record is from RNAcentral.